GACGAACGCUGGCGGCGUGCCUAACACAUGCAAGUCGAGCGAGUGAAUCUCCUUCGGGAAUGAAGCUAGCGGCGGACGGGUGAGUAACACGUGGGCAACCUGCCUCAUAGAGGGGAAUAGCCUUUCGAAAGGAAGAUUAAUACCGCAUAAGAUUGUAGCUUCGCAUGAAGUAGCAAUUAAAGGAGCAAUCCGCUAUGAGAUGGGCCCGCGGCGCAUUAGCUAGUUGGUGAGGUAACGGCUCACCAAGGCGACGAUGCGUAGCCGACCUGAGAGGGUGAUGGGCCACAGUGGGACUGAGACACGGCCCAGACUCCUACGGGAGGCAGCAGUGGGGAAUAUUGCACAAUGGGGGAAACCCUGAUGCAGCAACGCCGCGUGAGUGAUGACGGCCUUCGGGUUGUAAAGCUCUGUCUUCAGGGACGAUAAUGACGGUACCUGAGGAGGAAGCCACGGCUAACUACGUGCCAGCAGCCGCCGUAA
RNAcentral lists this ribosomal RNA (480 nucleotides) under uncultured bacterium. Its description in RNAcentral is "partial 16S ribosomal RNA". It matches the Rfam family "Bacterial small subunit ribosomal RNA", at positions 28 to 523 of the family's 1533-position model. The record is from RNAcentral.